RNAcentral lists this ribosomal RNA (492 nucleotides) under uncultured bacterium. RNAcentral's name for it is "partial 16S ribosomal RNA". It matches the Rfam family "Bacterial small subunit ribosomal RNA", at positions 29 to 507 of the family's 1533-position model. The record is from RNAcentral.
AGUGAACGCUGGCGGUAGGCCUAACACAUGCAAGUCGAACGGUAGCACAGUAAGAGCUUGCUCUUACGGGUGGCGAGUGGCGGACGGGUGAGGAAUACAUCGGAAUCUACUUUUUCGUGGGGGAUAACGUAGGGAAACUUACGCUAAUACCGCAUACGACCUACGGGUGAAAGCAGGGGAUCUUCGGACCUUGCGCGAUUGAAUGAGCCGAUGUCGGAUUAGCUAGUUGGCGGGGUAAAGGCCCACCAAGGCGACGAUCCGUAGCUGGUCUGAGAGGAUGAUCAGCCACACUGUAACUGAGACACGGUCCCGACUCCUACGGGAGGCAGCAGUGGGGAAUAUUGGACAAUGGGCGCAAGCCUGAUCCAGCCAUACCGCGUGGGUGAAGAAGGCCUUCGGGUUGUAAAGCCCUUUUGUUGGGAAAGAAAAGCAGCAGGUUAAUACCCCGCUGUUCUGACGGUACCCAAAGAAUAAGCACCGGCUAACUUCGUG